CCUACGGGUGGCAGCAGUGGGGAAUAUUGGACAAUGGGCGGAAGCCUGAUCCAGCAAUACCGCGUGUGUGAAGAAGGCCUGAGGGUUGUAAAGCACUUUCAAUAGGGAGGAAAAAGGGUUGGUUAAUACCCAGUCUAUUGACAUUACCUAUAGAAGAAGCACCGGCUAACUCCGUGCCAGCAGCCGCGGUAAUACGGAGGGUGCGAGCGUUAAUCGGAAUUACUGGGCGUAAAGCGUGCAUAUGCGAUGGGAAAGCCCCGGGCUUAACCUGGGAACUGCAUUUAAAACUGGCCAGCUAGAGUUAGGUAGAGGGGAGUGGAAUUUCAGGUGUAGCGGUGAAAUGCGUAGAUAUCUGAAGGAACACCAGUGGCGAAGGCGGCUCCCUGGACCCAAACUGACGCUGAGGUACGAAAGCGUGGGUAGCAAACAGGAUUAGAUACCCUGGUAGUC
Molecule: ribosomal RNA, 450 nt
Filed under: uncultured bacterium
Lineage: Bacteria
Description: partial 16S ribosomal RNA
Rfam family: Bacterial small subunit ribosomal RNA
Source: RNAcentral